CUAUGCGCCUUGCCAGCCCCGCUCAGAAACUUAAAGGAAUUGACGGGGGCCCGCACAAGCGGUGGAGCAUGUGGUUUAAUUCGAAGCAACGCGAAGAACCUUACCAAGACUUGACAUCCCCUGACAGCUGUUGAAAGGCAGUGUCUCUUCGGAGCAGGGAGACAGGUGGUGCAUGGUUGUCGUCAGCUCGUGUCGUGAGAUGUUGGGUUAAGUCCCGCAACGAGCGCAACCCUUAUCCUUAGUUACCAGCACGUAAAGGUGGGGACUCUAAGGGGACUGCCGGUGUUAAACCGGAGGAAGGUGGGGAUGACGUCAAGUCCUCAUGGCCUUUAUGACCAGGGCUACACACGUACUACAAUGGCCGAUACAAAGGGCAGCGACACUGCGAGGUGAAGCCAAUCCCGUAAAAUCGGUCUCAGUCCGGAUUGGAGUCUGCAACUCGACUCCAUGAAGUUGGAAUCGCUAGUAAUCGUGGAUCAGCAUGCCACGGUGAAUACGUUCCCGGGCCUU
RNAcentral lists this ribosomal RNA (510 nucleotides) under uncultured Desulfobulbus sp. Its description in RNAcentral is "bacterial SSU rRNA". It matches the Rfam family "Bacterial small subunit ribosomal RNA", at positions 903 to 1382 of the family's 1533-position model. The record is from RNAcentral. Lineage: Bacteria; Pseudomonadati; Thermodesulfobacteriota; Desulfobulbia; Desulfobulbales; Desulfobulbaceae.